This 423-nucleotide ribosomal RNA is filed under the name uncultured bacterium. Its description in RNAcentral is "partial 16S ribosomal RNA". It matches the Rfam family "Bacterial small subunit ribosomal RNA", at positions 359 to 774 of the family's 1533-position model. The record is from RNAcentral.
GAAUUUUGGACAAUGGGCGAAGGCCUGAUCCAGCAAUGCCGCGUUCAGGACGAAGGCCUUCGGUUUGUACACUGCUUUUGUACGGAACGAAAAGCUUUGGGUUAAUACCCUGGAGUCAUGCCCGUACCGUAAGCAUAAGCCCCGCCUAUCUACUUGCCCGCCGCCGCGGUAAUACGUAGGGUGCAAGCGUUAAGCGGAAUGACUGGGCGUAAAGCGUGCGCAGGCGGGUUUGUAAGACAGAUGUGAAAUCCCCGGGCUCAACCUGGGAACUGCCUUUGUGACUGCAAGGCUAGAGUACGGCAGAGGGGGGUGGAAUUCCGCGUGUAGCAGUGAAAUGCGUAGAUAUGCGGAGGAACACCGAUGGCGAAGGCAACCCCCUGGGCCUGUACUGACGCUCAUGCACGAAAGCGUGGGGAGCAAACA